CAUCCGAUUCGUUUGAAAUCGAACCGAGACUCUCCAAACAUGUUUUCGAGCAUGUUUUCUUCAUCUUUUCACCCACGCUAAUGCCAGAUUUAACUCAUGGCCCAACAUAGCCUUUCGGGUUCCGUUUCCACGCCUACGCGCACCAAAUCGCCCGAAUGCUCCCGAACUUCACCGAACUUCACCAGAACCUUUCAAAUGGCUCUCCAACCAAAUGUACACCGUAACUUCAUGAUUUUAGAAGUCCGGUACCUUACACCAAUACGCACCAAAAGCCAUCUCCACUCAUUGGCUUCUCCGAAAAAUCGGAGUUACUAUUCACUUUAAGUCAUUACUAAAGUUCGCAUAACUCCUCCGUCCUAACUCGUUUUCUCCUGAAACUUGAUGAGUGCUUGUGUAAUUAAAUUACACACAAAAAUAUCGUCAACAGAGAGUUUAGCUACACUGCGAAAAUCUCAGUCCUUACAUCAUUCCCCCCUUAAAAGAAGUUUCGUCCCCAAAACUUGACCACGUACCCAGCGUAAUCGAAUUCAGACAUUGCUCCACCAAUGCGGUAUCACCUUUGAGUACUGGUCAGUCACAAUUCCAUGAAUUUGGACAAUCUCCGACGAAGGGAAGGAUAGGACUGCGAUUACACUCGGACAAGACGAGGGAAAACAAACCGACCCAAAAACUACGGACCAAAACUCACCAGGAUCAACACCAUCCUAUAACCUGCGAACAAAAACAGUCCCACACCAGGAUUAUCCGAUCCCAAAUUGCCAAUUCUGAGAUAAUAAUUCACCACUCAGAAACUCUAGGUCCACUCAACCUUAGUCCGCGUAGCAGUAAUCGACUUGACUACUUCGAAAGUUUAUGUAGAAAAGUCGCGGAACAACACCACAAGUCUGGAGCAUAUUUUCAUAGGCCGAAAAGACACACUCCGACUAGCUAACAACAUCAACCUGCUCACCAUAAGCAAAAACGAAACGUUGUUCCAAAAACUGAGUCAGUAAUACUCACCACGGAGACCACAAUUUCCCACCAGUCUAAAACAUAAACAACCCAAGUCAAACUCUUAGUAUCGAAAACCUACCUACGGUAUUCGACACUCCUAAGUUCAAGACCUCAUCGUCCGCCUGGCCAAAAAGCCCAAGCCUGACAAUACCAAUUGAGCUGGACAAUUCGUUCGCUCAAUAUUUCAAUCAGACCAACGCAAGUUCCAUGCAAGUCCAUCACUUGAUGCAUAGGAUUACCAAUCGCACUAUGCGAUACUAACCAUCGGUGAUGCUCAACACCUGUCUCUACGAGACCCUGUCGCUGCCGUCCUACAAGGGACCCUAGCGAUCGAUAUUCCCAACCACACUCAAUUACCGGUCUCAUUAAGACCCAGACGCACCUAUCACCA
This 1384-nucleotide long non-coding RNA is filed under the name Ananas comosus (pineapple). RNAcentral describes it as "long non-coding RNA (ACOM_LNC009138)". The record is from RNAcentral. Lineage: Eukaryota; Viridiplantae; Streptophyta; Magnoliopsida; Poales; Bromeliaceae.